CGCGGCCUAUCAGCUUGUUGGUGAGGUAAUGGCUCACCAAGGCGUCGACGGGUAGCCGGCCUGAGAGGGUGACCGGCCACACUGGGACUGAGACACGGCCCAGACUCCUACGGGAGGCAGCAGUGGGGAAUAUUGCACAAUGGGCGGAAGCCUGAUGCAGCAACGCCGCGUGAGGGAUGACGGCCUUCGGGUUGUAAACCUCUUUUAGCAGGGAAGAAGCGAAAGUGACGGUACCUGCAGAAAAAGCGCCGGCUAACUACGUGCCAGCAGCCGCGGUAAUACGUAGGGCGCAAGCGUUAUCCGGAAUUAUUGGGCGUAAGGAGCUCGUAGGCGGUUUGUCGCGUCUGCUGUGAAAUCUGGGGGCUCAACCCCCAGCCUGCAGUGGGUACGGGCAGACUAGAGUGCGGUAGGGGAGAUUGGAAUUCCUGGUGUAGCGGUGGAAUGCGCAGAUAUCAGGAGGAACACCGAUGGCGAAGGCAGAUCUCUGGGCCGUAACUGACGCUGAGGAGCGAAAGGGUGGGGAGCAAACAGGCUUAGAUACCCUGGUAGUCCACCCCGUAAACGUUGGGAACUAGUUGUGGGGUCCAUUCCACGGAUUCCGUGACGCAGCUAACGCAUUAAGUUCCCCGCCUGGGGAGUACAA
RNAcentral lists this ribosomal RNA (643 nucleotides) under uncultured Actinomycetes bacterium. RNAcentral describes it as "bacterial SSU rRNA". It matches the Rfam family "Bacterial small subunit ribosomal RNA", at positions 232 to 885 of the family's 1533-position model. The record is from RNAcentral. Lineage: Bacteria; Bacillati; Actinomycetota; Actinomycetes.